RNAcentral lists this ribosomal RNA (506 nucleotides) under uncultured bacterium. RNAcentral describes it as "partial 16S ribosomal RNA". It matches the Rfam family "Bacterial small subunit ribosomal RNA", at positions 29 to 523 of the family's 1533-position model. The record is from RNAcentral.
AGUGAACGCUGGCGGUAGGCCUAACACAUGCAAGUCGAACGGCAGCACAGGAGAGCUUGCUCUCUGGGUGGCGAGUGGCGGACGGGUGAGGAAUACAUCGGAAUCUACUCUGUCGUGGGGGAUGACGUAGGGAAACUUACGCUAAUACCGCAUACGACCUACGGGUGAAAGCAGGGGACCUUCGGGCCUUGCGCGAUUGAAUGAGCCGAUGUCGGAUUAGCUAGUUGGCGGGGUAAAGGCCCACCAAGGCGACGAUCCGUAGCUGGUCUGGGAGGAUGAUAAGCCAGACUGGAACUGAGAAACGGUCCAGACUCCUACGAGAGGCAGCAGUGGGGAAUAUUGGACAAUGGGCGAUAGCCUGAUCCAGCCAUACCGCGUGGGUGAAGAAGGCCUUCGGGUUGUAAAGCCCUUCUGUUGGGAAAGAAAUCCAGCUGGCUAAUACCCGGUUGGGAUGACGGUACCCAAAGAAUAAGCACCGGCUAACUUCGUGCCAGCCGCCGCGGUAA